CACGUGAGGAACCUGCCCCGAAGACCGGGAUAACCCUCCGAAAGGAGAGCUAAUACCGGAUACCCCCACCCGAAUCGCAUGAAUCGGUGAGGGAAAUGGAUUCCGCUUCGGGAGGGUCUCGCGGCCUAUCAGCUUGUUGGUGGGGUAACGGCCCACCAAGGCAUCGACGGGUAGCUGGUCUGAGAGGACGAUCAGCCACACUGGGACUGAGACACGGCCCAG
Molecule: ribosomal RNA, 222 nt
Filed under: uncultured bacterium
Lineage: Bacteria
Description: partial 16S ribosomal RNA
Rfam family: Bacterial small subunit ribosomal RNA
Source: RNAcentral